RNAcentral lists this ribosomal RNA (253 nucleotides) under uncultured bacterium. RNAcentral's name for it is "partial 16S ribosomal RNA". It matches the Rfam family "Bacterial small subunit ribosomal RNA", at positions 524 to 776 of the family's 1533-position model. The record is from RNAcentral.
UACAGAGGUCUCGAGCGUUGUUCGGAUUCAUUGGGCGUAAAGGGUGCGUAGGCGGCGCGGUAAGUCGGGCGUGAAAUCUCGGGGCUUAACUCCGAAACUGCAUUCGAUACUGCCGUGCUUGAGGACUGGAGAGGAGACUGGAAUUUACGGUGUAGCGGUGAAAUGCGUAGAUAUCGUAAGGAAGACCAGUGGCGAAGGCGGGUCUCUGGACAGUUCCUGACGCUGAGGCACGAAGGCCAGGGGAGCAAACGGG